This 358-nucleotide transfer-messenger RNA is filed under the name bacterium. It matches the Rfam family "transfer-messenger RNA". Rfam says of the family: Bacterial tmRNA, also known as 10Sa RNA or SsrA, is named for its dual tRNA and mRNA-like properties. Its role is to liberate the mRNA from a stalled ribosome. To accomplish this part of the tmRNA is used as a reading frame that ends in a translation stop signal. RNAcentral also lists the same sequence under 1 other name. The record is from RNAcentral.
GGGGGCGACCUGGUUUCGACGGGGUCGGAGGACUGCCGACUGCAUGCCGAGAUCCCAGAAUCUCGUAAAACACUGGAAAACAAAACAAAUGACACUGAGCACUUCGCUCUCGCUGCCUAAAUAGCGCAGCGCGUUCCCCGGCCGGAGGGACUCCGGUCCGGCCGACGGAGCGCCGUCAUCCGGAGCCUAGCCCCGAGCAGCGUCUUCUGGCGACGGGCGAAACUUUAAGUGAAGACUGGACGAGCCGUGGGUAGGUCACGACGCCAGCGGUGAGUCGAGAUUCAAGCCGUGACUACGCAUGGAGACGUCGUCAGGGAGCCGGUCUUGGACGCGGGUUCGAUUCCCGCCGCCUCCACCA